RNAcentral lists this ribosomal RNA (497 nucleotides) under uncultured bacterium. RNAcentral describes it as "partial 16S ribosomal RNA". It matches the Rfam family "Bacterial small subunit ribosomal RNA", at positions 28 to 507 of the family's 1533-position model. The record is from RNAcentral.
GAUGAACGCUGGCGGCGUGCCUAAUACAUGCAAGUCGAGCGAACAGACGAGGAGCUUGCUCCACUGACGUGAGCGGCGAACGGGUGAGUAACACGUGGAUAACCUACCUAUAAGACUGGGAUAACUUCGGGAAACCGGAGCUAAUACCGGAUAAUAUAUUUAAACACAUGGUUCAAGAUUGAAAGACGGUUUUGCAUUCACUUAUAAAUAGAUCCGGUCCGCAUUAGCUGGUUGGGAAGGAAACGCCUAACCAAGGGAACGAUGAUAACCCGCCCUGAAAGGGUGAUGGGCCACACGGGAACUGAGCAACGGCCCAGACUCCUCCGGGAGGAAGAAGUAGGGAAUCUUGCGCAAUGGGCGAAAGCCUGACGGGGCACCGCGGGGUGAGUGAUGAAGGUCUUCGGAUCGUAAAACUCUGUUAUUAGGGAAGAACAAAUGUGUAAGUAACUAUGCACGUAUUGACGGUACCUAAUCAGAAAGCCACGGCUAACUACGUG